GACGAACGCUGGCGGCGUGCUUAACACAUGCAAGUCGAACGGUGAAGCGCCUUCCUUUUUGGUGGGUGUGGAUGAGUGGCGAACGGGUGAGUAACUCGUGAGUAACCUGCCCCCUUCUUCUGGAUAACCGCAUGAAAGUGUGGCUAAUACGGGAUAUUCUGGGUCUGUCGCAUGAUGGGUCUGGGAAAGAUAUUGUUUCGGUGGGGGAUGGGCUCGCGGCCUAUCAGCUUGUUGGUGGGGUGAUGGCCUACCAAGGCGGUGACGGGUAGCCGGCCUGAGAGGGUGGACGGUCACACUGGGACUGAGACACGGCCCAGACUCCUACGGGAGGCAGCAGUGGGGAAUAUUGCACAAUGGGCGCAAGCCUGAUGCAGCGACGCCGCGUGAGGGAUGGAGGCCUUCGGGUUGUGAACCUCUUUCGCCAGUGAAGCAGGCCUGCCUCGUUUGUGGGUGGGUUGACGGUAGCUGGAGAAGAAGCGCCGGCUAACUACGUG
Molecule: ribosomal RNA, 494 nt
Filed under: uncultured bacterium
Lineage: Bacteria
Description: partial 16S ribosomal RNA
Rfam family: Bacterial small subunit ribosomal RNA
Source: RNAcentral